This 66-nucleotide transfer RNA is filed under the name Corbicula fluminea. RNAcentral's name for it is "tRNA-Tyr". The record is from RNAcentral. Lineage: Eukaryota; Metazoa; Mollusca; Bivalvia; Venerida; Cyrenidae. RNAcentral also lists the same sequence under 3 other names.
AAAGAGGCGUCCGUAGAGGUGUAAAGUUGUAGCCUUUAUUAUGGGAGUAAAAUCUCUCCUUCUUUA